CGGUUUUCCUCUAUUAUUUACACAAACAAACAGAACUGUCAUGUAAAAUGGCAACCCUUUGAAGAAAAAAAUGCAUUAGUCCUAUCUAGUCAGUGAAGUUAUUAUCUUUUUAAACCUACAGUUGAGUUUUUAAUUACCGAAGAUGUCAAAACUGGGGCCUAAUUUUACAUUCAGUGACACUGGUGCAAUUCCCAUUUAAAUUGAAAGAUUAGGAGACACAUUCAGUGGGGAGUCUGGGUUGGGGUAAAUUGAAAACCUUUUGUGGCUCCCUCAUUAUGAAAGUUACACCAGCUUAGACUUUCUUAGAGUCACAUCUACUCACUAACAUAUAAUUUCUACAUAACCUCUGAAUUUGGCCCACUGAGGCUAAAGAAGUCUGUAUGGUACGCUUUACACACCAAGGAGCUGGGAGAGAGGGAUGCAGUAGGAAAAAUAACUAACAUUUAAGUAUUAAAGUCAGCAUAUUACACCUCAUUUUGGCACCUCAAUGUGAAAGUGACAUCAGCUCAAAGUUCUUUAUUUACACCCACUAUUGUGUACCUUACACUGCUGAGCUUGCCUCUGUAACCACAGUCCUUUGUUAUGCUUUCUGCUGCAGUAGUGAUAAGGUUGAUUCUAGUAACCAUGGUUGCUGAUUGGUGGAUUACAGCUAGUGAUGGGCGAAUUUGAAAAGGAUUCAAAAUUUGGUCUGGAUUCUCCAGUUUGGAUGUUUACCCCGGCUUAUCCAAGCCAUCUGGAUCUCUUGACCCCAUUACUAUCAUGCUGUGACUCCCUCCUUUCCCACACAAGCCAUCCCACCAAGUGGCAAACAUUCUAAAGCCCUGCUCCCAUCUCUUUUUUAUGGAAAGAUAUUGGGGUAAUUUGCUUCCUCUGCAGCACAUGGGUAAAAAGGGCCUAUUUGCCUCUUCACUCAUGACAGUGUUUCCAGGGGGAAAGAGAAGGAAAGAAAUUUCUGGACACACUGGGAAACUGUGACAACCCCAUGUUGGUAGCAAUCAUAUAUAAACUGCUGGGACCUUCUUGUAGGUCUGCACUUUAAAGGAGGGACGGAGCUAUUGAUAAUAGUCUGAAGAAGACAGGAUCCCUGGUUGUAAUGCAGCUUUUUAUGACAGAAACACAGAGCAGUGCUUCUAUUACAUCCUAAAGAAAGAAUUUCUGGAAGGAAAAAAGUUCUAUGAGAUUAACUAUGAGAGAUUUAAUGAGAGGUGAGCCAGAAUGUUUGAGCAUGGGAAGGGCCUGGGUUAAUGGAAAAUAAAGGGAACAUAGAGGGAAUACCCACUGAAUAUUGCCAACUGCCAACUUUUGUUGUGGUCAGCCACAAACACAGCUGAAGAAAGAAAGAAAGAAAGAAAGAAAGAAAGAAAGAAAGAAAGAAAGAAAGAAAGAAAGAAAGAAAACUUUGGCUUUCACUUAUAAAAAUAUAUUGGAGCACUAUUGACUAAUUAAGUAAUGAUUUGGAUGCUUUGGAAAAGAGGCAUCUGCAUAUUUAAGCCAUCUCUCACACACAGGCACUCAGUAUAAAAGUCCUGCAUGAAAAAGGAGUUUUAACAGUAAAUGCUUUUAAAGCCUCUUGAUGUCCCCAAACCUUUUUAUCUUUUCUCUUCCUCCUCCCCAUCUAUCCUGCAUCAAAUAUAAAGCUGUUUUCCCUUCUUUUAGCUUCUGGCAGCAGGAAUAAAAAUAAUCUUAAAUUGUUAUUGUUUUCCCUGAAAAGCUCCAUGAAUGCAAAUCUUUUAAAAGCUGCCUCAUGAAUGGAAAUCUUCAAGUGUCUUCUCUCCAUACAGUUGCACUUUGGACAGCCGCCCAAGUGAUAAACAGCCCUCUGUUCACAUAUCUGCAUGAGACAGUCUAGCAAUAUGGUUUGAAAGAUAGUAGGUUUGUUAUGAGAUGAUGACUCCCUGCGGCACAAAAUGCCACAAAGUUCAACUCAUCUAAUUCUACUCAGUAAGAUUAUUUUACGAUAACCACUCUCCCUCGAUUAGUCCUGUUUCUAAUACACCCCUUUAGAAUACACUACAGCCAGUGAGAACACUGCAUUGCCACGCAAUUUAAACAGAUGUGUAAUGACCUGUGACAUCUUUUGUGCAGAAAAUUAAGCUGAUAAUUCAUUUGUAAUGCCACUACAGCCACCCAGUCUUAUCAUGAAUUUAGCAAGUAGUUUAGUGCCAUGAGUAGCUGCAGUAAUCUCAUUGCAAAUCAUCGCUGUUGCUUUGCAGUCAUGUAAACACAGCUGGUUUAAAUGCAUCAGGUUCCACUGCAAACCCCUCCGCAUUGCAUGCAACAAAAUAAAGUCACAGAUGGGGUAGGGGCAUGGAUACGUAUAUCUAAAUAAUCGUGGUGUCAAUCUAUGAAAAAUAUACUAUUCAAUUUUAAGUCUGGCAUGCUAUCUUUAUGAAAUAUAUAAUUCCAUUGUGGAACACACCAGCAGAAAACGUGUUAAGGUGGAGUUGGGGUCACAUUAAGUUUGACAGUUUUUAUUGCUGUGUGUGUUUGUCAUAACUUGUAAUGUUACUUAAACAUUACUUUUGUGUGUGCAAAUUCACAGUUUCACAAAAUCUACAGGGCAAAUAAAUCACUAUGGCCCAUAUUCUGCUGUCACUUACACCCAUGCAACACUAGUGAACUCAAUGAGGUUGUACAGGUAUAAGUGAGGGCAGAAUUCAGUUAUAUUUGACUGUCCAGCUGGAGUAACCCAUCCAACUGAUGGCGAAGUGGAGAAUGCUUUAAUACUGAAGACUAUGUUUUCCCUGUUAUACUACAGUGAAAAGCAAUCUGUAGCCUCACUGUUCCAGUGACCUCAGAGAUGCUUGGGGUAAACACCAAUGUACUUUCUAAAUCAGGAUAAACCAGUUGUGUAGAGCAGGAAUGGAAGAAGAAGCAAUGGAUCCCAUUGAGACAAUCCUUCUUUUUAUAGGCUCCCAGACUUUAAGGCCAGAAGGAAUCAUCUAGUCUGAUCUCCUGCACCUUGCAGGCCACAGAACCUCCUUCAAAUUGCUACAAGGUAAGGGCUCAGUGGGUAACCACAGUCCUGAGGAAGGGAUGGCAUGACACUAAUACCCCAGGAGAAGGUAUUUGCAGUGCUCCCUGCACAUACUACAAUAUUCCUUAGCAUUCCUAAGCACAUGAUUAUGUCUCGUCCUUACGCAGGAGAAUGACUCCUUGCACCUGUCACAAGCACAACCAUACAAGGACCAGGCACAGUUUGGCAACUAAGAGAAUACUGAAGUAACAACAGUUGAGGCCCAGGAUAGAGUUUUUCUUCACAUCACUGAGAACCAAAGCAAUACUGUGGACUGGAGUCAUUAUUAUAUACCAUUUAGGUUUACAUGCAACCAAAAUGGAAAAAGAUAAAGGAACAUGCUUACAUACCCUUCCCCGCACACUCCAUAACCUACACUAUUCUACCCUUAAGAAUUAUAUUUGGGAUUUUCAAAUGUGCUUCCAUCUUCUAUUGAAUAUAAAUUGGAUUUCUGUGCCUAACUCCCUCAGCCUGCACCCCCACCCUAAACCUCCUAGCUUGGUUUCCUUGUUAGAAAGAGACAGUAAGUUGAGUACAUCUGUUUUCCUGAGUGGUUUUAUUGUUUGUUCUUCUAACCCUAAGUAAUGGUGCCAGGAUCAACAGCAAGAUGUACCUUAUAAUGCACAUAAUAAAUAAUAAUUAUAAUGUGAA
Long non-coding RNA from Dermochelys coriacea (leatherback sea turtle), 3667 nucleotides. RefSeq lists it as uncharacterized. The transcript is spliced from 2 exons. The record is from RefSeq and is a predicted model, not a curated record. Lineage: Eukaryota; Metazoa; Chordata; Testudines; Dermochelyidae.